RNAcentral lists this long non-coding RNA (1812 nucleotides) under Nicotiana benthamiana. RNAcentral describes it as "long non-coding RNA (NBEN_LNC022503)". The record is from RNAcentral. Lineage: Eukaryota; Viridiplantae; Streptophyta; Magnoliopsida; Solanales; Solanaceae.
CCCAAUUGCCCACAGAUUGUUCUCAACAACAAAGAUAAUGGGCAAUUUCCACAAUGCGGCCAUGUUCAAGCACUCGUAGAAUUGGCCAUUGUUGCAAGUUCCAUCACCAAAGAAGGCUAGAGUGACAUGAUCACAUUCAGCGCCCUUCAAGACCUCCUUUCUGUACUUGCUAGUGAAUGCAGCACCUGUAGCCACCGGGAUUCCCUCACCAAUAAAAGCGAAACCACCAAGAACAUUGUGCUCUUUGGAGAACAUGUGCAUGGAUCCACCCUGGCCUCUACAAUCAGCCUCCUUCAAGACCUCCCUUCUGUACUUGCUAGUGAAUGCAGCACCUGCAGCCACCGGGAUUCCCUCACCGAUAAAAGCGAAACCACCAAGAACAUUGUGCUCUUUGGAGAACAUGUGCAUGGAUCCACCCUGGCCUCUACAACAGCCCGUGGUCUUUCCAAAUAGCUCACUCAUCACUUGACGAGCUGGGACACCUUUACUCAAUGCAUGGACAUGGUCACGGUAAGUGCUAACUACAGAGUCUUCCUUCUUCAAGAGCUUAAUGAAACCAGUCGAGACAGCUUCUUGGCCGUUGUACAAAUGCACGAAACCAAACAUUUUGCCCCUGUAAUACAUUUGGGCGCACAUGUCCUCAAAAGCUCUUCCCAGCACCAUGUCCUCAUACAGUACCAACCCUUCCUCUUUAGUAAUCAACUAAAAUGCAACAGCAGACACAAAAUAAUUGAGUAAGAAUCACAAAUAGCCCGAAUCUUUUCAAACAACUACAAUGCUACAUGAGAAAUUCAGAGAAUAGUAAGCACUAAAUCAACUACUAUUACUCCUCAAUCGGUCAAUACCAAACAAGUUGGAGUCGGCUAUAUGAAUCCUUAAUUCCUUACUAACCAUGUUACUCCGUUUUAACUCGUCUCAUGCCAAUAUUAUGAAAUACAAAUAAAAAGAAUUAAGAGUUCUCUGUAUUUUCUAAAUGUAUAUAUCUCUGAAAGGCUAAACCACUCCUAAGGACCUAAAUUGCCAUAAUAAAAACACUUAGAACAACGAGCUACAACUGGGUCAAAAGUUGCAUGACUCAAAUGGAAACUGAGCUAGCAAAUGCCAGAAUUAUCAAAGAUUGGGAUAAAAAUUAAGAAAAUGCAGGAACCUUUAGCUCAAUCAACUAAAUCUAACAACACAAGUAAAAUCACAAAAAGACAAAAUCUUGCAAACAACUACAAUGUCAUACGAAAAUUCAAUGGAGAAUAAGCACAAAAUUAACACACUGAAAAACACUAAAAAGACUUCAAAAUCCCAAAAGCACGAAUCUUUAGCAAGCAACAGGAAUGUUAUAUGAAAAAUUUAACGAAACAAGCAAUAAAUCGCCACAAAGACACCACUUAUAAGAUGGAGUUAAUACAGUAAACAAAGCGAGCAUGACCCAAAUGAAAACUGAGCUUGCAAUUGCCAAAAUUAUCCAAAAAAUGGGGGAUUAAAUUCAGAAAAUGCAGGUCCCUUUAGCCCAAUCAACUAGACGGAAAACCAGACACAAAUAACUGAGUAAAAUCCUAAAAAAACACGAAUCUUUUGCAUGACCCAAAUUAAAACUGAGCUUGUAAAGCCAAAAUCAAUUAAAAAAAUGAAGAAAUUGCAAAGUACCAGAUUGGAGAGAGACGAUUUGGACUUAGACUUCUUUUCCUUAACAACAUCAGAAACAGCAACAACCGCUGCAUUGGAUCGACGCUGGGAAUUAGGAGGCAAAAAAGGCUUCUUGAGAGAAAGCUUAUGAGAAAAUGAUGAUCCAAGAAAAGAUGAACUUUGGAUCAAAAGGGG